CUUCUUUACCCCAGAAUUGUUUGAUGUUCAUUCAUCCAAUAUAUUCUUGUUUUUAUGUUGCCAAUCAUCAUUGUGCUGGAAUCUGCUUGACCUUCAACUAAAGAACCAAGCUAUAUUAUUAGAAUGAAACUGCAAUUAAAUUCUAAGACGCUACUGUCAGAUUCAGAGAUGGAAGACGUUUUAGUAGAGUUCUUCAAAGUUCAUGGUUUAUCACAGUUUUCCCUGAAGGUUCGCAUCAUCAAACCAUGAAGAAAUCCAAGGAUGAAAUUGUGGAUCAGUCCAGUUUCUUUAAUGAAUAUUUACUCGUCUUUGUUCUCUUAAAUUUAAUAUAUUACCAGUCACAUGUAUUUACUUAGAAAAAAAUUAUCAUUGCUUAAUUAAUAUUUUAUCAUGUAUGACUCUUUUGUCUAACUAGUGGUUCAGAUGGGUUUUUUGUUUGUUUUUAUAAGUGGAAUUUAUUAGGAUUGCUGUCAUUAUCUUUUUAUGUAUAUAUUGUGUUGGUUUCUGUUGAGUUUAACGUUGUCUUUUUUCUUUUUGCUCUGUUAGAUUAGAAUUUAAUCAACAUUAUUUGUUUUCAUUAUUCGUAUUGCUUUAUACAACCUACACUUUAUUGCACUUUAAUGUGAUUUAUAACCGCAGUCAGUCCAGAUCCAAGUUGGCAACAUCUGCUUGAGUUCUGAUCUACACUAACUAUUUGAGGCCAUAUGUUUUGGACAUAGAAAAUUAUGUAAGGAGGGUUUCCUUCACACUUUGAAUCAGCUUAAUAAGCAGAAACAAGUCAAACAGGACACACAUUUUACUAAAUAGAUUUAUUGCCUGCUGUUCUUUAUUUUUCUCAUGUUAAGCUGUAAGAUUAGUAUCAUAUCAAACCAUACUGAAUUUCUUUCAGACAUACUUUCAUGUUUCAAUCUUAAAAAGACCAAUUGUCUUAUUAUGAAUUAAAGUGACACUUUUAUUAAGAUGUGAGGAUAAAAACAUCUAACUCCCGUCUCAGAAAUAUGUUGAUGGAACCAUCAUGUCUAAUCCUGUGAUUAAUUUACUAAAUAGAAAGUAUUUGAUUACCCUUGUGGGGGUUUUUCUCUCUUUCCCUCCUUGUUCAUGUGUUUGUUCAAAUGUGCACCGAUCCUUUACCUGCUCACAAGAGUAUAACAAAACAUCUGUCUCAACUCAAAACAUGCAGCUGCCCACAGUUAAAUGCUUUCAGUUUACUUCUGAAUUUUGAGAUAGCUCAUUUCUAUGCCUUUGUCGCCCCCUGCUGGGUUCUUUGGGGUAGGUGAGUUGUGGUUGGGUUGUUUUUCACUUCUCUUGCUUUAACUAUCCAUUUUCUAAUAUUU
This is a long non-coding RNA of Xiphophorus hellerii (green swordtail), 1334 nucleotides long. RefSeq lists it as uncharacterized. The transcript has 3 exons. The record is from RefSeq and is a predicted model, not a curated record. NCBI's taxonomy places the organism in Eukaryota, Metazoa, Chordata, Actinopteri, Cyprinodontiformes, Poeciliidae.